Long non-coding RNA from Danaus plexippus (monarch butterfly), 1871 nucleotides. RefSeq lists it as uncharacterized. The record is from RefSeq and is a predicted model, not a curated record. The transcript is spliced from 2 exons. NCBI's taxonomy places the organism in Eukaryota, Metazoa, Arthropoda, Insecta, Lepidoptera, Nymphalidae.
CCAAAACAAAUAAUUAAAGAGACAGAGACGCAAAAAUUUAAAACAAGAUUUUUUUGUAUUUAGUUUUUAUAAGCGUUUAGUGAAAAGGCUUCUUUAUGUGUCAUAGAGGACAAACGAUCAGACCGUCUAUAAGACGAUGAGUUGUCAGCGUCGACCAUUGACAUUUGCAACACAAACUUGGGAAAUACAAGUAUGUUGCCGGUCUUUGAGAGAGGAACACCAACAUACCUACAACAUCGAACGAUCCGACCGAUUUACAAGCAGAGCAUAGCUUUCAUUUAACCUGACUACGAGGUGUAAACUCAAGGUUAUGGAAAUUUAUGGACCGACGUCGAGACACUUGCAUGGCGACAAAGAAGGCACAAGGCACACAACUAGGUCUUUGCACAACUAUAUGAUGACCUCUUUCCUUAAGACGGCAGCCCAAAACAAAACUAUCUUCAAUAAAUUAUUAGGGUUUCGUUUGAAACUAACAUAAAAGAAAAACUUUCAAACACCAAAGUUCGUAACAGAAUGUCCUAGACUUCUAUUAGUUAUCUUAUAACCUGUUCAUAGACUUGUUGAUAUAUUUAUUUUCUUGUUUGUUAAUACCCUAUAUUUAUCUAGGAAGUCCAUUUGUCGUGGAAGGCUAUAGUUUAAAUACAAUCACCUCACCACGGAUUAAAGUGGAUAAUUCCAUAAAAAUAUAUCUAUAUAAUAAAUAUUUAAAAGUAUUUAAAACUACAAAAAAUGUCAAAAAAUAAUUAUAAAAUCACAACAUACUUAUAUAUAAAAACAUAAUACCUUCAUCUAAGGUUACCAUUUCAUUCUUUUGGACACAAUGUAAUUUUUCAAAAUCCUUAGGAGAGACACCUUUCAAAUAUUCCACUAUACGUAAUUAACAUACUCUUGCAGUAAUUAUAAUUUCCUUGAUUUUGCGACGCUGUCAAGAGUCUUAAAGUGUACUAGUCUUAGUAGAACGCACAAGUACACGUAGCCAAAUGUAAGACAAUCGUCCGUCGUCUUUAAUCGAACUUACACUCUCGGAAGACGUUGAAAAUAUGAGUCACUGAAGCAACCUCAGAAAGAUUAUACAAUACCUUGUUUUAUUAUAAAAGUUACAUCUUAUAAUAACUUGAUUCAGUCACGAAAAAAAUUAAGAUCCGAUUAUUUCAAUUAAGACUAUGUCUGAAACGGUAAAGGGGCAUUUGUUAUAUCGUUGCAAUUACCGAAAGGAAAAUAUGUUUUCAAUGAGCGUUUCAAAAUUACCUCAUAAAAGCUGUAUUCUUCUCCUUACCUGAGUAAAUCACUUUUGGAUAUAAUCAAAACUAUAUCGAAUUUGCCAAUUUGUGGACUUGAUUCCUGAUUACAGGCAUCAAGUUUAACGAAAAUAUAAAAUUACAAAAGGCGAGAUUAUAUCUAUGGAAAUACAGUAUUUAUCAGAAUUAAGAAUAUGAAGAAAAAAUAGUUAAAACAGUUUAUCAAAUAUAUUAACAAAGCUUAACAGAGUUGUUUGUUGACCUUCGUUAAAAAUUCAAAUAUUAACUGCAAUUGUGAGGGAACUAAACUAUUGCUUGUUUGGCUCAUGAUAGCAUUUACCAGGAAAUUAGUACAUUAAAAAUAGGCUUUAAAAUUGACUUACAUUUUAUCGUUUUAUCUCAAGUGGCUCGUCUCUGGUGCACUUCAAAGGUUUUAUCUAUUUCCAGUAAAGUAAGAAGAUUUGAGUACUUCAGCUGUUAAAUCGUUUUAUAAUGGAAUAUUUCCGUCAACAUUUCAAUCUCACUGAAAAGUGGUCUAAUAAUAACAUCAUAAGCGGAUCUGCUAUAUGUAUAAAAUAAUAAAUUUAAUUAGUAUUAAAAUAUAAUAAGUAAAUAACAUUUACAUUAAUUCGA